GCUGUGUGGCUAUGUUCCAGAAGUAUUCUCUCCUGACAUCUAUGGCAGGCAUCCUCAGAGGUUGUGAGGUAUGGAUAAACUAAGCAAGGAAUGUUUAUAUAUAUAUCUGUGGGAAGUCCAGGGUGAGGAGUUAAUCACCCUAAUUUGCAUUGAAUGGCUACAUCUACUAGCUAAUUUCUGCCUGGGGACAUUGUUUGUUAACUGCCCCUAGUUCCCAUGUCUCAAAGUGUUGCUUCUUAUUUACUGUUCUGAUUUUUGAGUUUUUUUAAUACUGGUAGCCAGAUUUUGUUCAUUUUCAUGGUUUCCUCCUUUCUGUUGAAGUUGUCCACAUGUUUGUGAAUUUCAAUGGCUUCUCUGACAUGAUAGUUGUUGGAGUGGUCAAGCAUUUCUGUGUUCACAAAUAAUAUACUGUGUCCAGGUUGGUUCAUCAAGUGUUCUGCUAUGGCUGAUUUCUCUGGUUGAAUUAUGCUGGUAGCCAGACUUUUUCCCCCAACAAAGGAUUUUCCCCAAGCAGGAAUCAGCCAGGCCUUGAAGCUGCAAGGCUUUUCGACGCUAAUCAAGGCGACUAAUUGCAACAUUCACAUUUGCCUGCAACAGGCAAGAGUUCUUUCUCCUAAUCCUGGACAUUACUCCACACUUGCCUAGUUUCGAACAGACCUCACAACCUCUGAGGAUGCCUGCCAUAGAGGUGGGCGAAACGUCAGGAGAGAAUGGUUCUGGAACAUGGCCAUUACAGUCCGGAAAAGUCACAGCAACCCAGUGAUUCAGGCCAAGAAAGCCUUGGAAAGAACCUGGGGAAGAGAAAGGCUUUCCUGAGCGAGAGGCGCAAGGAGCAGCGGCCGUUCAGCAGAGGGCGUCCCGCUUGCGGCUCCGACGAAGCCGGGAGGAGCUUCCCUCUCUCAGGUUCGAUCGGGGAGGAGGAAGAAGAGCAGGAGGAAGAAGAGGAGGAGGAGCCCUUCCGUUGCUGCUUUUGCAGCUUGUGCCACGUUGACGCCAGGCUGAGGCGGCGAGCCGGGAAGGCGGCGGGAUCGCCUCGCCAACACGUGCGCGCCGCUCUGACCGGCAUGUGAUUGUGGUCCCAAAAGGAUCUUGGUAACUGUGAAGACUCUCUCACUUAGAG
Molecule: long non-coding RNA, 1120 nt
Organism: Anolis carolinensis (green anole)
Lineage: Eukaryota; Metazoa; Chordata; Lepidosauria; Squamata; Anolidae
Source: Ensembl